CGAAAAAUGCCACUUCCCCAUCAAUCAAUUACACUGAUGCUUUCUCUUUGGUGAUGUUUGAUUUUAUCUCCAAAAUUUGGUGUUGUUUCAGGUUCGAUUUGUUGUAGAUUCUUGGUUGUUCGUCCAGCCAGCAUGGUAUAAGUUCUACUCAUCCAAUUUCCCUUUGUGUUUUAAAGCUUAGUGCUCGAGUCCAACUUCUUGGCAAAUUCGAUUUUGCUUGAAGGUUUGGUAUGGCUCUUGAAGAUUCGUGAGUUUUGGUAGAUUGAAAUCGGGUUAACAGGUUUUGAUUUGCCAUUAAAAAUUCAGGUUCUUGUUUAGCUAUUUUUCACUCAAUUGGGGCAAUAAAUUCAAAAUUUUGAUUAUUUGACUUGUCCCUGUAGUAAUCUAGCAAAGUUGAUUGCUUUUUGCAGCCUUGCAUCCGAAAAAUGCUCCCAGCACUAGCACAGUUUUUCAAUUAAGAAAUGCUGCAGCAGCUUUUGUUGGCGUUGAUGGAGGGUGCUUAGGAGAGUUGGACUUAUGCAAUUUUCUGGCAAUCAUCAAUGGCUGACUACGGUGGUUCAUCGCUACUGGGUUGGCGAUGUGUACUAUAAAGGCGAAGAGAAUAAAGGAAAGCAGAAGAAGGCGGCAUCACUGGCAAAGCAAGAAAACAGAAAGAAAGUGCUGAGAGAGUUUAAUAGUUGGAGCAUGAGGAGGGGAUGCCGAAAUGGGUGGUGAAGAAGGCGGCGUCACUGGCGAAGCAAGAAAACAGAAAGAAAGUGCUGAGAGAGUUUAAUAGUUGGAGCAUGAGGAGGGGAUGCCGAAAUGGGUGGUCCGCUACCACGGGACCCAUCAUCGACGCCGAAAUUGAUGGUGGAAGCAAAUUGGUUUCUUCUAAGUUUUGGAUAAUUAAAGGAUUUGUUUGUGCAAUUGAUUGAUGGGCAAGUGUUUGUGGGUUAAACUAGCCAGCGAGGGGAGCAUUUUCUGAUGAUUAAAGCGGCAAUGGAUGGUAGGUUAAACUCACG
Molecule: long non-coding RNA, 1001 nt
Filed under: Olea europaea subsp. europaea
Lineage: Eukaryota; Viridiplantae; Streptophyta; Magnoliopsida; Lamiales; Oleaceae
Source: RNAcentral